This 43145-nucleotide long non-coding RNA is filed under the name Olea europaea (common olive). RNAcentral describes it as "long non-coding RNA (OEUR_LNC010690)". Lineage: Eukaryota; Viridiplantae; Streptophyta; Magnoliopsida; Lamiales; Oleaceae. The record is from RNAcentral.
AAUCUUUAAUGCAUUUUUAUAUGUUCGCAUCUGUCAUAGAAAUAUAGUUGGAUCGCAUGUGAAAUUAGGUUUAAUUCUAAUUGAGAGAGAUUGUUAAACAAAUUAGGAAUAUUGGUCUUCAUAAUUGAAUCGUGUUGUCAAUUUUAUAAAAUUCGGAUUAAAGGGGAUUCAUAUAAGGGGAUUCGGGAUCCUGGUACACAUUUCGUUAUCACAUUUUUAUAAAAUUUGCAUUUAGUUAUAGUCAUGCAUUUAAUCUAGUUAAUUUAGGCUUUAUAUUUAUAAGUAGGUUAUUAAAUCAUAAUUUAGUUAACGAAAAUAUCGAGAAUUUCUAUUGUUUCGAUUAAGGCGACGAUAGGUAAAAUUGAACUAAUCAAUCUCUGUGGGACGAUAUUCGGACUUAUUUAAUCCACUUUAUUACUUGUUAACGAACUGUACACUUGCGGUAGUUUAAAAUCGAAAGAAAUAAUUUCGCGAACAGUGUCAUUGUUCUUGUGCAUUUUUUAUUGUGUUUAUAUUUCCAUCAUUUGUUUGGCCAAUAGAUGAUUGUGUUAGGUGGUUUGUGCAAUUAUUGAGAGAGGGUUGUGCUUUCUAGAUCAAAAUAAGCCCUAGGUUCUUUUAGAAUAUAGAGAUAUACUCCUAGUCUUAUGUGGCCAAUUGAGUUAUUUUUACUAUAAUUUAAUGCAGUUGGUUGUGUUUUUGUCAACAUAGAGAUAUAGUGGGUAAAACAAAUUAAUUACGAUUAGUUUCACUCGAGAGAGGUAACUAACUAAAAUUGAAAAAUUGGGUCUAACAUUGGAACUUGCUAAUUUACAUUUUUGGUUUGUUGAAAUAUUGAUGAAAUGACAAUCAGGUGAAAUCAUAAAUUCCAACCCAUCUCAAAUUUAGAACAUUUUCAUUUUCAUAACUGUUAAUUAAAUUUAAGUCUCGAAAUAUAUUCUUUAUUUCUAAUUUGAAAGAAUUUAAUUGUGUGUCUCUAUCGCUAAUUUGAAUCAAUUUUUGUAUAAUUGGAAGAAAUACUCUUCGAGGGAUUGACUCGUACUCAAAAAGUCCAUUGCAUUAUUUGUAACGACCCGUGCACUUACGGUUUGCACUUUUAACAAACAAUUAGAUUAGGUCUUGCUAUAGAUGAAUUUAAUCAUUUCAAAGAUCUUAGCUGUAAAUAAAGUUGUUGGCCAAUAAUUUUCACUAUAUAUAACUUGCCUCCCUCAUUAUGCAUGUUAAAGGAAAGUCUAAUGUUGAGUUUAUUGAUCCCGAGACCUAAGCAGCCUGGUAAUGAUGUAGAUGUUUUUUUUGACACUACUUGUAGAUGACUUGAUAUUGUUAUGUAAUGAUGGGGUUGAUACGUUUGAUGUAGUUACGAAGUGACUUCAUUUGUCUUACACACAAGAAUUUAAUAAUUGUAAAUACCAUAAAUAUGGAGCAAAUAAAGGAAAGAUUCCAUUUUUAAUCCAUGGCAAUAUUUUAUUCUUUCCACACACACACAUCUUUGAAACACACAAGAUUUCAUAAAUUGACUUUUGGAGAUUUAAGUACUUUACUCUUAUUUAUCAAAUUCCAUUACGAGAUAAGUGAUGGUGCAUGUGGUUUAUAUGAAAAAUGUCAAGGAAUAGAAGUUACUAAAAAUAAGGACAUAAAACCAUGAUUUAGAAUCACGUUCAAAUCAAUUUAAAGCUUUUUUUUUUUUAACACAUGAAACAAUUAAUAUCUAACCUUUUUUAAAAAAAAAUUUGUCAAUUUUUUAUUUUAUUUUAUUUUAAACAUAACAGUGGUGGUCACUAUUUAGUGAACAGUAACCAUUUUGUAAAAAUGCGGUUACUGUUUACAUGAAUAGUACCGAGCACUGUUCAUGUAAAACAUUCUUUUUUUUUGAGUCUAUAGAAUCGAUUUUAAAACCCUGGGCUCUGAUACCAUUCUGUAAUACCCCAAUAUUUAAGUAGAUAAAAAUUGGGGCGUUUCAUUCACUAUGGUUGAAGCAUGGUAGGAAUUUUGCGUACAUAAGAUAUAGAAGAUUUCUCAGCUUUGAUCAUCCAUGCUGUAAGAAAAAGAGCUGGUUUAUUGGACAUAUUGAAAAUGGUAUUAGGCGGAAGAUGAAAAAUGGUGACGAAGAUUUUAUUGAAGUUGAUAAAAUUACAAAUGAUUGGGGAAAAUUUGGUAAGCCUAAGAGGAAGAGGAAUACAACUCAAUCUAAUGUAACAUGGAAGAAAAGAUCGAUAUUUUUCAAUCUGCCAUAUUGGAAGGUAAUUGCUGUAACAUAUCCCUCUUUUUUUUAUUUAAUACUUCUAAUUGCAUGUACAUUAAAAUGACACAAUUGAUGUUUGAUUUGCAGACGCUACUUGUACGUCACAAUUUGGAUGUGAUGCACGUUGAAAAGAAUAUGUGAUAACAUCCUUAGUACACUUUUGGAUGUUAAAGGAAUCCUAAACAUGACACUAACUCUCAUAAGGACUUAGAAGCUAUGAACAUUUGGUAUGAUUUACAUCCUGAAAGUAGAGGAAAUAAAUUCUAUCUACCAGCUGUUCCUCACACUUUAUCGAAACCUAAACGAGAAAUGUUUUGCAAAAGGCUUGCUAACUUGAGAUUACCCGAUGGUUAUAGAUCUGAUACUGAAAAUUACAUUUUGGUGGAAGAAUCUAAGAUAGUUGAACUGAAGUCUCAUGAUUAUCACAUUUUAAUGCAACAAUUAUUACCAGUUGGUUUGAGGGACUUCUACCUAAAGGACCAAGGAACUCCAUUUCGAAGUUGUGUUUUCACUUUUCAAUGAAAUAUGUCAAAGAGUUGUGGAUAGAAAUAAUGUCUAAGGAUAGAAAUAAUGUCUAACAAUUAGAGGAGGACGUGAUAGAAUUUGUAUACAUGUUGGAAAAGUAUUUUCCGCCUUCAUUUUUUGAUAUAAUGGUUCAUUUGGCAAUCUAUAUUGAGAGAGAAGUUCGUUUAUGUGGACCAGUACAAUAUCUUUGGAUGUACCUAUUCGAGAGGUAAUACUCAUUAAAGUUAUUCGAAAAGCUAAAUUCAUAUCUAAUUGGUCAAUUUGGAUGUUUCGAAUAUUUGUAUCUAUACAGGUAUAUAAAAGUGUUGAAACGGUAUGUUAUGAAUCGUGCAAGGUCUGAAGGGUGCAUAGCUGAACGUUAUAUUGUUGAAGAAAAUACAAUGUUUUGUAGCAAAUAUAGAACACAAGCAUCUGAAAUUAGCACUAAGCUUGUAUGCAAUGAGAAUAUGAGAGUGAUUUCUUAGUUGUAGGGCUUACAAUAUCUAAAGGAAAGUCGCUUGUGCUAUUCGAUGACACGUUGAAAGUGACUCAUCGCUAUGUGUUUUAAAUAAUAUGGAAGUUCAACUACACAUAGAGUACGUUUAUUAAAUAUCUACUUCAAUUGACUUAUUGUUUUACCAUAUUCAUUUUUUGAUAUAUUGUAUUUACCUAGGAUGCAUAUGGAUGAACUCAAGAGUCUUGACAAGCGAUGUGCUCGAAAUAAGACUUUAUUGCAUAAGAAGCACAUUGAUUCUUUUGCUACCUGGUUGGAUGAUAAGGUUGGGAUACAGAUAAAAAAUUAUGUCUCUCAGUUCUAUUAGUUACUUUACUCCAAACAUUUUUAAAAUAAAUACAGAUUAAAUGUCAACUAUUGGUGGAUAGUAUUUUGAACAAUUUGAUGUGGCUUGCACGUAAUCCUAGAUGUCAAUCCAUAUCAUAUUUUGGAUUUAUCAUAAAUGGUCUUCAAUUUCACACUAAAGAUUCAGAAAAAUCAUGUUAAAACAUGGCAUUUUAGUUGAGGCGACAACUAUUUGCAGAUCCAGUGCAAAAGAUAAUGCACAUAUAGUUGGACAAGUUCUUUAUUAUGGAGUUUUAUGUGAUGUUAUAAUUCUUAAUUAUAACGCAUUUCAUGUUCCAAUGUUCAAGUGAUUGUGCAAAUAUCGUGAAUGGAAUAAGAAGGAAAGAUGGAUUCACUCUGGUUAACCUUAAUGAAGGACUCAAACAACUUGAAAAUGAUCAUUUCAUCUUGCCGACACAAGCGAAACAAGUCUUUUACUCCAGAGAGAAUGAAACAUCUAGUUGGUAUGUUGCUUUGCAAGCACCACCUAUUGACUUUCAUUCUUCACACAUGGAAGAAGACACUACGUAUGAGGCAACUAUUCCACUAGAUAUAUCACAACGAAUUAUAGAUAACCUUGAUGAGGAUGAGAAUUAUGCAAGGAUAGACGUUGAAGGCUUAUUAUGUUAUUCGUAGAGUAGUUUGGUAACUAGCUUAUAUCCUCUUCAUUUUUUAAUAUUUUAACAUGUGAUACAUGUAGUCUUCAUAUUUUUAAUCUCUAAUCUUUAUUUAUUUUGAUGUUGCAGAUUUGUAUUCUACCUCUUGGUCAUCUUUCGAAUCAAUUAACAGUACAAAACAUAUUAUACAAGAUGGACAAAUCUGAGGUAAUUAUUUUUUUUUCUUAAAUUUGUGUAAGUUAUUUGUUAAGUUUCAAAAAUUAUUUUAUUUUAAUUUAGUUUUCAUGGUGCAUUGUUACAGUCAACUCUGCAAGCUUCCAAGAAGCCUAAACAAUGGAGAGCUACAAUUGCUGUGGCAAUUCGGAGACCAAUAAGAGGCUAUGGUUGUUGAGCGAACUAGAAAAUUCUUUACCUACUCCAAUUCAUGAUGAGCAAAACACGCAGCCUACAAAUGCAAAUGUAGAAGCUUCGAAGAAGAAAAUAGGUCCAACUCAAGUGAAAAUGAUUCCUGGAAAUAGUCAUCAGAAGAUGGAUCUCGAAUUCAAUAAAUAUGGGCAAGUAGUCGGCCAUAAUUCAGAUAAAUUUGCUAGCGUAGUUGGAGCCAUGGUAUGAGAACAUGUGCCUGUUGUAAUUAAAGAUUGGCAUUCAGUCGAUGGGAAGAAAAAAAUGGAACUUUGGAAUUUCAUACAGCUAUAUUUGUGAACUACCUUUUAACAUUAUUACGCUAUACUAUUUUCAGACUUUAAUUUAUUUAUUUAUACAAGUACAACAAAGGAUCAAUGUGAUAGAUUGUUAUCAAAAAAUAAUAAUUCAAUGUAUGGGAAAGUAUUAGAAGACAUUUAAGUCAAGGCUGCAAAAACAAAUCAGAAUUCAAGUUGAAUCAUCUGUGAAUAGAGCUCACACUACGACCCUUCUUAGACCGAAGAAUGUUAAAUUUGAAGAAGCAUGGGAAAAUUUUGUCAAGGAUAUGCUUUCUGCCGACUUUUGUGUAAGUUUAUUUGCAUACAAGGCUUCAACUUUUAAUAAUUACUGUACGCUAAUACUUUUUGGUUUUCGUAAUAGGAAAAAAGUCCAAAAUUUAGUAACAUGAGAACAUUUCAAAAGUUUGUCCACACUAUGGGUCGAAAAGGUUAUCCACGCAUUGCCCAUGAAAUGGUAAAAUUACAAACAUAUAUGUUCUUCUUAUUUGAAUUGUCCCACUUUAGUGUAUGUAAUUAUCGGAUUUUUAUUGUAGAGAAAAAAAUAUCCAGAUAUAAAAGAAUUGAGAACUAGAGUAUGGACUCAUGGUCAUCUUAAAGAAGAUAGAAAAUCGAUAAAUGAAGCAGUAGUCGACACUUUAGUAUGCAUUUUAUAUUCAACGUUCAACUAAGAAUAAUUUCAUUUAUUAUAUGGACCACUUGUUAAUAUAAAAUUUUAGUUCCAUGACUACAGAAAAAGAUUGAAGCAUGUGCUCAAUCUUCAAUCCUUUUCUGAUACACUAGCAGAAGACUCCAUUCGCGAUGAUGUUGUUGCUCGAGUUUUAGGUCCUGAGCGCCAGGGAAGAGUUAAAGGACUUGGAUUUGGAGUUGUACCAUCAAAAGUGGAUGGACAAAUUCAAAGUAAUGUGAGAGUUAGAGAACUUCAAAGUCAACUACAAAGUCAGUCAGAAAGGGUGGGAACGUUAGAAGAAAUGGUUGAAGCAUUUCUCAAGCUAUCUCAACAGGUUAUAAUCUUUUACAAUUAUAUACUGUGGUAACAAUGCUUAACAUAGUGAAGUACAUGUAGAUUUACUUUUCAUAAUUUUUGUAUCAUCUUGUAGAAUAUGGAGGAUAGGAGUUCUCGUGCUUUUACUCUUCAGGUUUUUGUAUCUUACAUUAUUAAAUGUUUAUUUAAUAUAAAUCUAGGUCAUAUAGAAAUCUAAUUUAAAAAAGUUUUUUUUUUAUAUUAACUGUGAAUUGUAGUCACACCAUGGAAGAGCUGUUCAAGGAGGUACUUCCAAUCUGGAAAAUGCGAGGUGUCAACUAUUACAUUAGUACAUGUUUGAGGAUGAAGAAAUUGUUGCAAAAGGGAAGAUUGCAACAGAUCCAAGUACAAAAGUGCAUCACUUGCCACUUGGAUGAGACUAUUGGAAGAUUUGGAUUGAGGAAGUGUAUAUGGAUAACUUGACAUUAUAUAGAUUGACACAUGAACUUCGAACUCUUAGUGAAGCCACGAGAAGUACUGUUGCUUGGUCAAAGAGCAGUAGUUGACUUAUUUGAUGAAGGUAUGUGUCGUUGGAGAAUUACAUGUGUACGAAUCAAUUAUAGUUCUAUUUAUAUAUAUGAGUUAUAAAUCAAACAUGACAUGAUUAUAUUUCAUUUUCCUUUAGCUAAAAACCAAGCAGAGCUCCUACAUUUGUACAAAGCAGGGUGAUUUCUAUUAGUAUGUUAUAGUGCAAGAAGAAGGUUUCAUGUAUUUCCAUAUUGCAUGGGUCAAAAAUAUGUAAGGAAUAUUAACCUCAAUUUCAUGCAUAGUUCGAUGAAAUGGAAAUGCAACAUGAACUACAUUUGUUUCCAUUUUGUAUUUUUGUAUAGGUUAAAAUAAGUAACGAAAUUGAAAUCUCAGUUUAUGCAUUAUCUUUAAUUUGUUGCUAAAUUUGCAUAUUUUUACUAUAGAAAUUUUUAGAAAUAAUCUCUAACACGGGUGAAAUAAAUACAAAAAUAGCCAAAAAUGGUGUAAAUAAUGAGAGAAACGACAACAUUUUUUAAAUGUUGUUGAAAAGUCUAUCGCACAUUUUAAUAAACGUUUCAAUAGAGGUUUCAGCAACAUCGAGGUUUGCAACAUAUGUUCAAACGUUGCAUAAGGUCUUUGACAACAUUUUUUGAAUGUUGCAGAAGACAUUUUUGUUGUAGUGCUACAAGAAAUUUCUGCACACCACCAUGUGGUCGCAUGGCUUUAUUUUUUAAACUUUUCUCUUUGUGUAGAAUUUCGCGAUGAUUCCGAAUUGUUUUCAUGGGCAAAAAUCCAACAUCUGAACUGAAAGUUAUGCCCGUUUUAAUCCACGCUACUCAUUUUUCCAUAUAUCUUCCAAAACAUUGAAUCAAACGUACCAAACAUGAUUUCGCUUUCAUAACCAACAUAUAAGUUGUUAUUUAGUUCGUUAACUUAAAAAAAUUUUACUCCAUAGCUCAAAUAAAUAAUUUGCAUGGCUUGUUAGCUCGAAUUAAGCUCGAAUCUUGGUCUUUGCCACUCAUCAACCAUCAACAAAUUCUCGAUAAUUUCUACCCCCCCCCUUGGAUCACAUCAACAUGUUUGUUUAGGGCAUGGAUGUCAAAUUCCCCAAGGAUUACUUUGGUAUGGAUCGCAAAAUAGGCGCCCUUAAUGCAGCUACCAUACUUUGCAUUGAAUCGUUGAGUGUAUUAGAACCUCCCAUCGAAAAUGAAGAAAAUGAUGAUUAUGAUUUUGAAGAUUCUAGCAGUGGGUCUGACAAUUUUCAAAAAGACAAUAAUUGAUUUUGUAAGUUGAAGCACUUUUAUCCGGGAAAAUCACUAAAAUUCUUUGAUGAGAGAAGCCACACUUAUCACUCAUCCAAAUUUGAUGAGCCCUAUAAUUUUAUAUUUAAGAUUGUCUUCUACCGUUGACCAUGAUUAUGCUGCCAACAUGUAUUAACGUUAACACGUACUUGCGCAUUUUUGGGAGAGUGGAAAUUGGUGUCGUAUGAUUUAUUAAUCAGCAACGAAAGCGGAAUCUACUGUUUCAAUUUCCUUUUCUUGAAGUUUGUAUUUUUGCCUUUUCACAAUAAUGCAAACUCGUUCUUCAUCCAUCAAGAAUUCACAAUAUAUCCUAACAAAACAUUUUUCACGUCUAUUCAAUUAUAAAGUAAAAUAUUGAUAUCUUUCUGUUUUCAAUGGACACUUCAAUAUAUAUAUAUAUAUAUACACACACACACACAUAUACUCACAUGAUGUGUGUGAGAGUAGUUUCUCGACUGGUUCAUGUUUAAUACACUUGUGUGUUAUAUAACAACUCCCUGACAUUAGGGAUUGCAUCAAAAUGCUUUCAAUGUAUCAAUGUUGCUUGAGUAAGUUUGAUCACUUUGUUUUCAUCCAUAUAUCCUAUCGAAUUGAUAAAAAUGAAGAUGGGAAAAUUGCUAAGUGACCAGUAUGGUUACUCAAUCUUUCCAAUGUAUUCCCCACUCUUGAAUGGAUAAAUUACAAGCAAAUGAGUUCUUAAAUACUACAAAAAACUUUGAAAAUCAAGAUCACAAUCUACAGCAAAUAAUAUAAAUUAAAGAGCUAAAAUACAGCUAUUAUAUCACUUCCCCGUUGUCCAGUGCAGGGUGCAAAACAGAGGAAUGGCCAUAUUCAGCUACUUUCUUCUUCAGGACAUGUUCGACCAGAAAUGGUUAGGUCAACCUUCAAAACCUGUGCCUCAGUCUUCUGUACAGAUCAGAUUUCUUUCAUUUUUGUCUGUGGUCUGCUCGUUACUCCCCUUCAAGAUGGGGAUGUGAUGCUAUGAAUCCCCAUCUUGCUUAGAAGAAAAUGAAACUAUUGUGAACCAAUUGCCUUGGUGAGGAUAUCUGCCACUUGCAUCUUAGAUGGAAUAUGUGAUGAUCUCAAUAAACCUUCCUGCAGCUUCUCUCUUACAAUAUAACAAUCGAUUUCAAUAUGUUUUGUAUGUUCUUGAUAAACCGGAUUUGAGGCAAUAUAAAUCGCGGCCUGAUUAUCACAAAAGAGCUGAACUGGUUUAACUAAAUCAACUCCAAGAUCACACAACAAACUUCGAAACCAUACCAGUUCGCACGUUGUGGAUGCCAUCGACCGAUAUUCUGCUUCGGCGGAUGAGCGAGAGACUGUCCGCUGUUUCUUGGAUUUCCAUGAAAUUAAAGCAUUCCCAAGAAAAACACAAAACCCAGUAAUGGACCUUCUUGUUAUCGAACAAGCACCCCAGUCCGCAAUGCAAAAUGCUGAUAAUUGGAGUGAGCUUGAAGCUGGAUAGAAUAGACCCUGUGAUGGUGAGCCCUUCAAAUAUCUUGCUGUCCGCAAGGCUGCCUUCCAAUGGGUGUCCUUUGGUUUGCUUAAAAAUUGGCUAAGCACUUGAACUGAAUAUGAAAUGUCCGGACGAGUGAUGGUUAAGUAAAGUAACCGCCCAAUGAGUCUUCUAUAUUUUGUAGGAUUAGCAAGAUCAAUCCCAUCCUCUGCAGUUAGUUUUAAAUUCUGCUCCAUAGGAAAACCAACGGGUUUUGCAGCAAGAAGUCCGCAAUCCUGUAAGAUUUCUAAGGCAUAUUUCCUUUAACAAAUGGAAAUGCCUUGAGAUGAUUGUGCCACUUCGAUGCCUAAAAAAUUACUUCAAUGGACCAAUGUCCUUGAGCUUGAAAUUUUGCACUAGAUAAUCCUUCAAUUGCUGUAUUUCCGAAGCAUUAUCACCUGCAAUAAUCAUGUCAUCAACGUACACCAACAUAGUAGUAAAUGAAGUGCAUGUUUUCUUAACAAACAAAGAAUAGUCAACCUUAGAUUGAAUGAACCCAAUCUUAGUGAUGACUGAAGUGAGUUUUUGGUUCCAUUGACGAGAUGCUUGCUUCAAUCCGUAGAGUGACUGUCUUAAUUUGCAAACCCGUUGCUCCCCUUGAGUACCAUAUCCCGGAGGUAGAGACAUAUACACUUCUUCAUCCAAGUCACCGUACAAGAAAGCAUUAUUGACAUCUAGGUGAGAUAGGGACCAGUUUUUGGAGGCUGCAAGGGCUAAGAAACAUCGCACAGUUGACAUCUUGGCCACGGGUGAGAAGGUCUCAAAAUAGUCUUCACCUUCCCUUUGAGUGUAGCCUUUUGCAACCAAUCUUACCUUGUGUCGUUCAAUGCUUCCAUCAGCCUUGUAUUUGGUCUUGAACACCCACUUGCAUCCAAUAGUUUUCUUCCCAUCUGGUAGCUGUGUAAGUACCCAAGUCUGAUUUUCUUCUAAUGCUCUUAUUUCAUCAUUCAUAGCAAUCCUCCAAUGAGGGUAUUUUAUGGCUUUGACAUAAGAAGUGGGCUCCGGUUCAAGGCUAACUGCUAAGGUAAAUUACAAGUGUGAUGGUGACAAAUGUGUAUAACCAAGAACCAAAGAGAGUGCAUAAGGAUUACCUUCAUCAGAUGACUUGUCAAGAGUAGGCUCGUUUGGUGUUGCUAAAGAGGUCACCAGCUUGCAAUGAAAAUCUUGAAGGUAAUGGGCUGUUUUCUAUCUCUAGUAGAUCUCCUCAGCUCAGGUAGAGACCCUAUCGCUUGGACAGGAGGAAAGUCUGGUGAACUGGGAUUUUCUACAGUAGGAAGAGCAGGAAUAUGCGUAGUUUCCACUUGGUUUGGUGCGCUGCUAGAGGUAUCAAAUGAAAGUUGUGUAUUUCCUUCAAUAUUGGUGUCGACCGGUUGUUGUGACAAUUCCAUGGGAUCAGAAAUUGGAUUAGGAAUAACCGCAGUAUUAUCUAGUGUGGAUAUGGUCAGAGUAGGCAAAAGAGAUGGCAUGUCAGUAUGUUGUUUGAAAGGAAAAAUUUCUUCAUAAAAGACCACAUCACGACUAACUAAGAUUUCAUGAGUUUUCAUGUCGAAGAGCUUGUAGCCCUUAAUUCCAUUUAGAUAUCCUAUAAAAAUACAUUUCUUAGCCCUUGAGUCAAACUUGGUUCGAUGAGGGUCGAGGUUUGAUGCAUAGCAUAGACAUCCCAAGAUUCUUAAGUGAGAAUAUGUAGGAAUUUUGGAGAAAAUGAUUUGGUAAGGGGUUUGGUUCUGCAGAUUUGGUGACGGAGUACGGUUGAUCAAGUAUGCGGCUGUAAAAACACACUCCUCCCAAAACUUCAAUGGAAGGUUGGCUUGGAACCUUAAUGCCCUUGCCACAUUUAACAAAUGUAAAUGCUUUCUUUCUACUAUGGAGUUUUGUUGAGGAGUAUAGGUACAACUUUGUUGGUGAAUGACUCCUUUUGAGGAAAAAAAUUCGGUCAUUUGGAACUCUUUUCCUUGAUCUGUUCGAAUGGCUUUAAUCUUGCAAUGGAAUUGAUUUUCAAUGAGGUUAAAGAAGGUUAUUAUUAACUGCCGUGUCUGGUUUUUGCUCUUCAUGAGAUAAAUCCAUGUAUUUCUACUAUGAUCAUCAACGAUUGUUAAAAAAUAAUGAGCUCCAUUGAGAGAGGCAACAAAAAAAGGUCCCCAAAUAUCCGCAAUAAAUCAAAACAGGAUUCAACAAACUUGCCAUCAGAUGGAAAAGGUAAACGAGUUUGUUUAGCCAUAUGACAAGUAUCACAAUGGUGUCUUGUAGAGAAAAUGGGGAUAGUGGGAUCCAUGCUAUGCAACAAAACAAGGCGUUGGUCUAAUGGAUGUCCAAGCCUUAGGUGCCACAAUUUUGGUGUCAAGGUAGUAAGAGAAUGUGCAGCUGGUAGAUGGUGGUGUAACUUGAUCUUAUGGUCACUUUCGUGUAGGUAGUACAACCCGUUCACCUCUUUAGCAACUCCAAUCGUCCUCCAAUGGACUAGCUCCUGAAUGAAACAGUAACCAGAUAAGAAUACAAGACAACAAUGGAGAUUUUUGGUCAGUUUGCUGGUCGAUAUCAGAUUGAAACUAAAACUUGGUACAUAUAAAACGUUCUCAAGAGUAAGAGUGGAUGAAAUGCGAAUAGUUCCUAUAUAUGUGACAGCAACCACAGUACCAUUUGGUAAUCUAACAGAUGUGUUCGAGAGAGAUUUCUUGUGUGUAAACAUGUCAAGUAAACUUGGUACAUAUAAAACGUUCUCAAGAGUAAGAGUGGAUGAAAUGCGAAUAGUUCCUAUAUAUGUGACAGCAACCACAGUACCAUUUGGAUGAAAUGCGAAUAGUUUGCUAGUCGAUAUCAGAUUGAAACUAAAACUUGGUACAUAUAUAACGUUCUCAAGAGUAAGAGUGGAUGAAAUGCGAAUAGUUCCUAUAUAUGUGACACCAACCACAGUACCAUUUGGUAAUCUAACAGAUGUGUUCGAGAGAGAUUUCUUGUGUGUGAACAUGUCAAGUAAACUAACUAUAUGGUCAGUUGCACCUGAAUCUAAAAUCCAAGAGUUUGAGUAAACCUCAGUUGACAUGCAGCUAAGUGAGGGACUGAUUGAAAAAGAGAAAGUGCUGGGAUUUUUACCUGUCAUAUUUGAAUGUUGGUUACCUAUGGGUUGUGAAGUGGAGCUAGCUUGGGGAGAUUUUUGGCUUUGGAGAAGAGUUAUCAGUUGCUGAAUUUGGUCAUGAGAAAUAUUCAAACUUGAGCUAUUUGUGCCUUCAUUUGCAGCAGCAAAACUCACUGUUUUGUAGUCAUUUCCAGAUGUUGCUGUAGCCUUGUAGAAUUUGUGGUUGGGUGGAUAGCCAUUAAUCUCCCAACAAUUGUCUAUGGAAUGAUUAGUGCGGCCACAUUUCUUACAUGGAGCUUUGUCUUUUAGUCUCAUCCCUUUGUAGUUAUUAAUCUGUCCUUGUCUGGAAGAAUUUUUCUGAUAUUGAAAUUUGCCAGAGAACAUGGCAGCAGACUCGACUGUGGUAUUACUGCUUUUGGUCAGCUCUUGGUCAGCUUCUUCUUAUAAAAUAAAGUUGAAAACUCUGUCAAGUGAUGGCAAUGGAUCCCUCAGAAGGAUUUCGUUCCUCAGCCCAUUGUAAACUUCAUCUAAACCCAUCAAAAAUUGCAUAAUCUGUCUUCUUUCUUGCCUCUUCAUGAUUAUGGAGAUGGCUCCACAAUCAGUUGCCAUGCACUUGAAUGGUUCCUCAUAUCUCGAUAUUUCUUCCCACAUGAGUUUCAACUUUGAAAAAUAGACACUUACUGGUGUUUUCUCUUGCUUGGUCACUGCUAGUUGUUGUUCAAGCAUAAAAAUUCGACUAUUGCUUGACUUAGCAAAUCGUUUCUUGAGUUCCUCCCAAACUUGUGAUGCUGAAUCAGAGUACAUGACAUAUCCUGCUAUCUCUGGUGAAAGACUAUUCAUAAGCCAAGACAAGAUCAUGUGGUUGCAUCUUUGCCAUUGUGGAUAUUUCUCAUCAGUUUCUUCAGGCUUCUUGAUUGUGCCAUCAAUGAAGCCCAGCUUAUUUUUGGCAGAUAGAGCCACAUACAUGGCUCUACUCCAAGCAUGAUAAUUUUGGGGUGUAAGAGGCUGUGAGACAAGGAGUAAGCCAGGGCUCUCACCAUGGUGGAGAAAGUAUGGGUUGGAUGAUUCAUCACUAAGCUGUGUGUUGCUUUUGGGUCCUGGAUUUGCUUCAGCCAUGAUGGGUUAGAAGGAGAAUUUAAGGCAGGUGCUGGAAGAUGAGAAGAUAGGUGAGAGCUUAAGCUCGAUUCAACAGAGGCUGAGCCUCUUGCUCUGAUACCAUGAUAAAAAUGAAGAUGGGAGAAUUGCUAAGUGACCAGUAUGGUUACUCAAUAUUUCCAAUGUAUUCCUCACUCUUGAAUGGAUAAAUUACAAGCAAUUGAGUUCUUAAAUACUACAAAAAACUCUGAAAAUCAAGAUCACAAUCUACAGCAAAUAAUAUAAAUUAAAGAGCUAAAAUACAGCUAUUAUAUCACUUCCCCGUUGUCCAGUGCAGGGUGCAAAACAGAGGAAUGGCCAUAUUCAGCUACUUUCUUCUUCAGGACAUGUUCGACCAGAAAUGGUUAGGUCAACCUUCGAAACCUGUGCCUCAGUCUUCUGUACAGAUCAAAUUUCUUUCAUUUUUGUCCGUGGUCUACUCGUUACGAAUAUGUGUACGUUGUGUGCAUAAUAUCUGUAGAUGUACAAUCGGUCUCCCUUGCACUUGUUAUUGCACUACUCAAAUUUUCCUAAGUCACUGCAUUACAUAAUCAAUUUUAUUAAAUUUUGCGUUGAAGCACGUUUCUUCGUGAUUAUUUUGAAUUAACAGUAAUAUUAAAAUUUGUCUCUGGACCCCCGAGGUAUAGCCUAGUGGUACAAAGGACAGGAGUGAGGUUAUUUCACGUCUUGCUGGCAGCCGCAGUGUGGGGGUUCGAUUCCUGAAACAUGGAAUUGGACUCCUUGAAGGCGCAGUGUACAGAUAGCUCUUGUUCCCUGGCCUGUUAGGACACAUCUCGCGAUUUACCUCCCUCACAAAGCUCUAGGGGCGGAGCGGUGAGAGCCCUCAAGUUUGGGGUUCAACCUUUUUUUUUUAAUAGUAUGCUCUGUUGUCUAUAAAUGUUUAAUGUCUUAAAUGCACGAUUGAAUAGGAAGGGAAAGUUCAUCACCAAUAUCAAUGUUUUCUAAGGACAUGACGUAAAACCAAAUCUCAACCUUAAGUUAAAUGUGCAGCAGAAGCAGAUAUUUAUGGCAUUGUGCUUUGAUCUUCCUUAAGAUGAAUGAUAUCCUCUUACACGGAUGGAUUUAUGUGGGGCAGUGGGGCCCACACUAAAUUUAAAAUUUCAAAAUUUACCCAAGAUUUUUCAAAAUUUAAAAAAAAAUGAAAAAAUUUCUUCAUAGUUUUCAAUUUUUGCUUCUACAAUUAAAAUUUUGUAAAAAUUGCCCUCAAAAUUCUUUUAUCUUACCUCCGUCCGAUUAUAUCAACAAAUGUUGAUGUUGAUAUUGACUAGUUCUUUGUAUGUAGCUUGUGGUUUGAUUCAAGUUCAUAUCAGUUUACGAUUUUGGAAUGAAUAUUUCAUAUACCAUGAAAUUACUGAUUAUUGAUAUACUAUUCAUUUUUUUCGUCAUCGUUUUGUUUGGUCACUUCAUGAAAAUGAUUCUGUACGUCAAUUCUACUCAAUGUAUCUCUCACUUAUUUUACGGAUAUGCUUGGAAAAUUUGUGACUUUUUUGUUGGUGAAUAUGUUCAUCAAACACGGAGGUUUCAUGCAGUUUGCUGUAUGCGUUCAUAUAGACGUUUUUUGUGGAUCAAGAUUUGAUUCAUGUAAAUUUUCUUUAGGAUAAAACUCUGUGUACAAAGCUUUUUUUACAGAGGUCUUAUCGACCCCUCACAUGAGAUCGAUGCCAUGUGAGCCCCGAUGUAAUAAAAAAUGAAGAAAAAAAUCCCAACCUCACCCCUUUGUGAGAACUCUGUAAGAGUUCUGUAAUGCGUUGGGUUGUACGCCCGUACUGCCCUUUUCUUUAUAUGGGAUAUGAUGUAUUCUUUUUAUUUCAGGUUUAAGAAAUUUCAUUCUUAAUAUUGUUUGGCUCUCUUCAUGAAGUUACAUUUAUCUAUUAACCGUUUCGAAUGUCUGCAACCAUUCUCAACCUAUUUUUAGUAGAGAGUUGUCAUUUGUUAUUCAUAAAAUUUUAUUUUAUCUCAUGCAUAUGUAGUUUUUUCUUUAAUUAAUAACUAAAAUGAUAUGGGGAUCAUCAUUUUUUUUAUAUAAAAUGUGUAGUGCAUUAUGUCAACUGCGGAUAUUAAUUCAAAUCAUAAAAUAAGCUGAAGUGUAUGAUUAAUUAGUGUUGGUGACAUCAGAAUCUAUCUACCUUAUCAUCAUUUAUUGUUCAUUUCCCCAUAUUACCCUGUUAAAGUAAUUCUCCUUUUUUUUAUCGGUCAAUGUAAAACUUAAUAAAUCAAAACUCAUUUACAAGUACCCUGAACAUAUUUGGGUAAUUCAAGAUCAAGUAAGCAAUACAUGUACACCAAGCAUACCCGAGUAAAUAAAAAUAAGAUCUACAAACUAUCAUCUAAUGACCUAAGGACUCAAACCGGAUCAAAACUGUUGGGUUUUUGAUACCCAAUGAAUCCCGGGCUAUGAUGUUAACGUGGGUUAAUAUUAUUUCUUAGGCAUAGGCCGAUGAAUGAAAUAAGUCCAACAACCAAGUCCAUGAGCUACACCCGGCCCAAUUGUAUUCCUUAUGGAUGGUUUGAAUCUUGGCCCGCUUACCCCUUUAAUGGCCCAACUUAAAACCUAACCCUAGAGUAUAUAUAUGAAUAUAACCCUAGCCUCUUUGAUAUGAUGAUUGUGUGAUUUUGAAAGAAGAAACUAGUGAAUCCCGGAUGCCCCCCUUUUGUGUGAGAAAAAGGUGUCCAGAAGUGUCCAGAACGCUUGUAUAACGUGUGCAAUUGAUGGUUCUUUCAUAGUAUACCUUUGUGGUGUCUUCUCUUAGCCUUUGUGGCGAUAAAUCAUCAUCCCUUCUUGUCCUACGUGGAUAAGAUUGUAUAGCAACCAAGGUGAAUCAAUUGGCUGUGGUUUGGAGCCGUUUGGAUUGGUUGUUGGUAGAGAAAGGUACGUUGGACUGAGCCUGAAAAAUCACCGUUUGAAGAUCUUUUGAGAGAGCUUCCGUAACAAUUGAUAUCAGAGCUUCAAGGUGAAGGUUUUGGCUCGUGAAAUCUACCAGAAAUCGUCCAAAAAAAUUGGCAGAAACGUGGCAGAAAUCAGAUCGAAAAACUGUCCAGAAAAAAAUCAGUCUCUGUUUUGGUGUUUUCUGACCAAUCCAGAACGAGUUUGGGGAAACAGAGACCACUGGUAUAACGUGCAGGCGGUGGCGAUCAAGACGGUCAGGCGCGUGUGAACGGCGGCGGCGCGUGGCGGAGGCGCGUGGAGGCCACGCGCAGGGACUGAUUGGGCGCGUGCGGGCGCGUGUGAAGUUUUCUGGCUACGGUCUCUUCAGGUAGUUUGUUCCUUAUAUUAUUUUUAACAUUUUUGGUAUUGAAAGUUUUCUAUUUCAGAGUAUACAGAAGAAUCUGGACAGCGUUGUUAUUUGGGCGUUCGGGACUCGAUCGUGAUUUUUCGGUUGCUACAGUUUCCAGAGACUUUAGGACGAAUAGUGAUAGUCCUAAAGUGAUGAAUUCGCGUCUCUCAAUAUUUACGGACCUUCAGACGUGGUCCGCUCGGUAUCGUGUUCUUUGUUUUUAUUAUUGCAGUUGAAAUAAAUGUGUAGAGUAAUUUAUUUUUUGCAUUAGAGGUCAUCGUGUGGGAUGACAUUAGGUUUGGGGUUACCAUGAAGGGGGUAACCAUUGCCUGUUGCUAGACCUAGGAAUUAUUUGUUAAUUAUUUGCCUUAAAUUCUUUGUGAAUUUGCUGUCAAUUUUUUCUACAUUAUUAGAAUUGCAUGUGGCCUUAGGAAAGUUUACUGGACUAUUCUGUGUGAAUUAUGUUCAUACUUUACUUGUGGUCAUUAUUUGACAUUGUUGGAAAAUGUGGAUCUAAGGUAAAUGCAAAAAAUAACAUAUAUUUUAACUGUGGUGAAAUUUGGACAUAGUUGAAAGAGAUUGUUCUAGGAUGAUAAGAAAAGGAAAGAUGAGGAUAGAGACAAGGUGAAUAUGACUUUAGGGUCGAGUAGUGAUCCUAGUGAGGUUUAUUGAGAGAAUAAACUUGGUUCUUGCAUUGCAUCUGUGUGUAAUCCUUUCUGCAUGUAUGUGGUCACUUAAUUCUGUUGUGAUGUUGAUUUUACACUUUCAAUAUGUUUGAUGUGUGUAAUUGCAUGAAUUAGAGGAACUUAUUACUUUGUGUAAUAUGUUUACAUGCAUAGUGAGUUAAGUAUUGUGGCGUACUCUAUUUGCUCUGUGAGUGGUGUGAGAGUGUGGUAGUGAGAAGAAAGUUGGGCAGCCGUUUCUCUCCUUUAUCUUUGUGAGUCUGUGUGGUUUGUGAGAUUAUGUGAGGCAGCCAUGUUAGGGUUAUAUUCUUCCUCUUUGUGAGCCUCUUUUGUGAGUGUUGUGAAGUAACCGACUCUUUCUUCGAUUCUCUUUGAGAGUGCCACCUUUACUAUUUUCUUUGUGAAUUUUUUGGGAGCAUUGGUGAGUGGAUUAACCUUUGUGGUUACCAAAAGGUGUUGUUUAGCCAUAGUGAGUUUGAGAUGCAUUAGCAGUGAGUUGGAUGUCUUUUGAUGAGGUGGAGUAUAGAUGCCUAGAGGUGCAUUGGUGAUAUGCACGAGGGAUGUAGAGUGUGACAUUUGGAUCACGAGUGGAGAUGUGAUCAAAUGUCUAGGAUCCUUUAUCUGGAAAGAGACCCUGAUCAGGUGGAGUGUGAGAGAGGCACUUAUAUCACUUCUGUUAGGUGGAGACCCAUUAUCCACGUAGGUUGGGAGAAGUGAUGUGGAGAUAAAGGAUUAUCCCGUGGACUUAGGAUCUAUUGUGACUUGCCAGUUAGACAUGAGUUGAGUGAACUGUCUAUUGAGCUUGGUGGGUGAUGAGAGGAGAUAUGUGUUCUCGUGGUGUGAGCAACACGGAAUGGGAUAGGAUAAGUGUGGUGAGAUCUUUUCUUAGGGUCAUUUAUGCAUGUGUUGCAUAUGUGGUUGACCGUGGUUUGAUUGACUUGGUGUUAAUCUAUGGUUCUAUGUGAACGUGUUUCUGAAAAGAUCUGUGUGUGUUAUCCUAUAGUAUAUCGUCAUCGCAUGUGUAUUUGCUCUUGAUUGUUUACUGUUAAAUAUUUGCUUCUACUUGGGUGUUUUUGACCUUAGCCCCAGUGAGUACAUGGAGCAGGUAUGGUAUGUGUUUCAAGUUGGAAACACGAGGUAAGGUCUGUGAUCCAAUUUUAUUGGCUACCUUGAUUAUGCAAGUGUUAACUGUGUGUUUUGAUUGCUUGCAGAUUUAUUGGGCAUCAAGGUGGAGAUUUGUUGGGUUUUUGAUACCCAAUAAAUCCCGGCCUAUGAUGUUAACGUGGGUUAAUAUUAUUUCUUAGGCAUAGGCCGAUGAAUGAAAUAAGUCCAACAACCAAGCCCAUGAGCUACACCCGGCCCAAUUGUAUUCCUUAUGGAUGGCUUGAAUCUUGGCUCGUUUACCCCUUUAAUGGCCCAACUUAAAGCUUAACCCUAGAGUAUAUAUAUGAAUAUAACCCUAGCCUCUUUGAUAUGAUGAUUGUGUGAUUUUGAGAGAAGAAACUAGUGAAUCCCGACUGCCCCCCUUUUGUGUGAGAAAAAGGUGUCCAGAAGUAUCCAGAACGCUUGUAUAACGUGUGCAAUUGGUGGUUCUUUCAUAGUAUACCUUUGUGGUGUCUUCUCUUAGCCUUUGUGGCGAUAAAUCAUCAUCCCUUCUUGUCCUACGUGGAUAAGAUUGUAUAGCAACCAAGGUGAAUCAAUUGGUUGUGGUUUGGAGCCAUUUGGAUUGGUUGUUGGUAGAGAAAGGUACGUUGGACUAAGCCUGGAAAACCACCGUUUGAAGAUCUUUUGAGAGAGCUUCCGCAACAAAAACAUUCGGAUACAAAGUAAACAUAGCUUUGUAUACGUGUGUUUUAAUCCUUCUUGCAAUAGAAUCGACUUGUGGUCGAAGAUUUUCAAAAAUAUUUCUAUUCCCAUCCAAAUGUAGUAGAGAGUGGUAGCAAGUGCCAUAUGCUUAGAUUUGCUUUGCCCACUCGUUCCUCGAUCUUCUUUUCUAAUCCACUCCAACGAACUCAACAAGGAUGACAUGUUACAUAAAAUAGCUAGCCAACAACGAAUGUGUUCCCAGAUGGCUUUGUUGAUCGGACAGGAAACAAAAUAGAUGUUGUGUUAUCUCCUCAAUUUGCCCACAAAAAGAACAGCUUCGGUCCAAGUCUAGGUGCCGUAACCUGUCUUUGGUUUAUAAACUGUCCACCACUCCCAACCAAAGGAUAAAUGCAUGCUUUGGAGUGAUAGAACCAUUUCAAACAGUAGAUGUCCAACCAGCUUUAACACCCUUUGUUCGAAAGAACUCAUAAGCAGUCAUGGUGCUAAAUCUACUCGCCUGUGUCCAGCGAUACAACCUAUUUGCAGCUGCAUGUAUUGUACUCUCUUGCUCUAUGAUUUUUUCCCUGAUUUCCAGCACUUUUUUAAGCAAUGGAGAGUCAUCUUUCUUCUUCAUAUAUUCCCAAAUGUCAAUGCCACGAAAAUGGCCCAAAUCCACCCAUUUUAUUAGAAGAUAAUUUUUCUUAUUGUGGAUGUUCCAUAUUGUUUUGGAGAGUAAAGCAACGUUCCAACUUUUGAUAUUUCUCAAACUAAAUUUUUCUUAUUGUAAAUGUUCCACAGUGUUUUGGAGAGUAAAGCAACGUUCCAGCUUUUGACAUUUCUCAAGCUAAGCCUGCCUUCAUGCUUUGGCAAGCGAAUGUGAUUUCAAGAUACCAAUGAUUUCUUGAACUCCAAAGGAACUUAUGGCACAAACUCAUAAUUUUAAAAGCAACCAUUUCUGGAAUGGGGAAGAUAGAUAGCCAAAAAUACUCCACUCCUUAUAGAAUGGUUUUCACAAGCUCUGCUCUCCUCGCAUGUGAUAGAGGAAUGCUCGACCAUGCACCAAUAUAAGUAGAAAUUUUGUUGAUAAAAGUAUCAUAUGGACUAAUUUUGAAUUUCUCUGCCGCUAGUGGUAUGCCCAAGUAGCAAAAUGGCAUGGCAUCAUUAGGGAAGAUAGUUAGUACAAGGAUGUCCUCCAAAUCUUUACCAUGCACUCCCGCGGUGUGUAAACUAAAGUUAUCAACAUACAUUUUGAGAUUUGAUAUAUCUCCAAACCUUGAAAGACAAUUCAUCAAGAUAUCUAUCGUCAUAACAUCUUCUCUUCCAAAAUGCAUCAAGUCAUCGACAAAUGCAAGAUGUGUGAUCUUUAAAGGUGCACAUUUAGGAUGGAAAUUAAACUUAAUAUCAUCAGUUACCCUUUUCACCAAUCUAGAGAAAUAUUCUGGACAUAGUACAAACAAAUAUGGAGAGAGAGGAUCACCUUGGCGGAAACCUUUCCUUCACUUGAAAAAACCAUGAAGGCUACCAUUAAGAGCGAUAGAGUAAGUAGGUGUUGUAACACACUCCAUCACCCAAUCAAUGAAUGUAGUAGGGAAACACAAACCAACAAGCCUGCUGUCCAAUUGCUCCAGCCUGCUGUAUCACCCCCGUUUCAGUUGGAAAAUCACCAUCAUUGCCAAUCUGUGAAACACAUUCAACGGUAGAAAUCUGGUCCUUACUUUUUGCAGCAAUCUGCCCAUUUUCCUAACCCGAAACGUGCUUUGUAGAAGCCUCAACAGCUUGAUUUUGUUUGCUGGCCUAUUUAUUUAAAUUGCACGAAGCUGCCUUAUGUUCGAACAUCUUGCAAUUACCCCAAAAUCUUGGCUUGUACUCAAAAACCACUUGUUGAAUUCUAUAUUUACCCGUGGGUAGAGUCAUUACCAUGGAUUGAACCAAGUCUAUCAAUGCAUCAACCACCACUAAAACCUGAGCAUAAGCUAACCACUCCUUGUUCGACAUGAAUUUAUCCAUGGAUAUUGGAUUCCCAAUCUUUGAAGCAAUUUUCACCAGCGCUCUAGAAUUCCAACAAUCCAAAGGAAGUCCCUGAAAUUUCCCCCAUACCAGCACUAUGCUAAUAUUUUCAUCAUCAAAUUCAAAACACAACGACAUAGUCUUCAACAUUAAAGAUAGUCUUCCUGGUACACCCCAAAUCGCCCUAAUUUUACUCUAUCGGGUCAACAAUUAUUGUAGCAACCCUCCUUCUAUGAGCAGUGGAAUGAAGCAUUGGAAAAAGCUAUUCGUUAAAACUUAUAAAGAGACGUGUCUGUUUUUCUUUAAAAGUUUAAAAACUCCCCAAAAAAAUUAUGCACUCUGUCCAGAGACAUACCGUUCUCGUGCAUUUUCUCCAUACAUGUGGUCCCAUACUUCGUAAAAUUAACUUGUUCAAUUAUAGUCAUUCUAUAUGUAAUCUUGUUCAAUUAACUUUUUGCUAUCUUCAUUCUUAGUCCGAUAUUGAAGGAAAAAGUUGCUAACUUUAUUCUUUUAGUCAAUCUCAUACUUUGAAUGAAAAAGUAACUCUUUGCUACCUUUCCUUUUCAAAUAUUUUACGGUCUAUUUUACAGUCAUAUUUUUCCACACAAAAAAGUGCUAAAAAUGCAGCAAACCAAAGUUGCUUUUAAAACUUUGUCAAUUGUUAAGAACCAAGAGGACAGUAUUCAGAUAAACUAAUUUUGAUACUUUUAUCAUUGUUAUUUUUUUGUUGUAUCACAUUUGUGCAUUUUAAUUACUUUAGGAUGAAGGAAUAUACAAAAAUGUCCUACAAGAAAUGGCCCAGAAAGAAGGUCUUAAGUUUCCAUCAUAUGAGACAUCCCCAGCAAGUCCUCACAAAAUUGGAUUUGUGUCAAUUGUUGUGGUUGGAAGUGACACUUUCCAAGGAAUUGAAGCCAGAACUAAGAAGCAGGCAGAAGCAAAUGCAGCUGAAGUGGCUUACAUUGAUCUUAUUCGAGUAAGAAACUAAUGUGGAAAAAUAUGUUCAUGCUUUGGUUUGCUGCAUUUUCAACACCUUUUAGUGGGGAAAAAUAUGUUCGUGCUUUAUAUAUUUUUCCAUCCAGAGAUAUACCUGACUUGUAGUAGAGAGCGUGAGGAGGGUCGUCGGGUUUAUAAGCGUACCCAAGUAUAGUAAGACCUUUCUUUUGAGCAUAUUGUUGCAAUAGAUUUACAUAUAUGUGCAACUUGACUUCGUAUAUUAUGAUAAGGUUUUCCUUUUUCCUUUUGAAGAUAGACUGUAAAAUAUUUGAGAAGGUAAGGUUGCAAAGAGUUACUUUUUCAUUCAAAGAAUGGGAUUGACUACAAGAAUGAAGUUCGCAACUUUUUCUUUCAGUAUGGGACUAAGAAUGAAGAUCCUAGCUCACCCCCCAACUACCGGCGCGAUCGUUGGCCUGGUAUAACCCCGAAUUGCCCUACUUUUACUCUAUGGGGUCGACAAUUAUUGUGGCAACCCUCCUUUUACAAGCAGUGGAAUGAAGCAUUGGAAACAGCCAUUCGUUAAAACUUAUAAAGAGACGUGUCAUUUUUCUUUAAAAGCUUCGAAACCCAAAAAAAAAAAUGCAUAUAUCCAAGGACAUACCAUUCUCGUGCAUUUCAUCCAUACUUGUGGUCCCAUACUUUGAAAAAUUAACUUGUUCAAUUAUAGUCAUGCUAUAUGUAAUCUUGUUCAAUUAACUUUUUGCUAUCUUCAUUCGUAGUCCGAUACUGAAGGAAAAUGUUGCUAACUUCAUUCUUGUAGUCAAUCUCAUACUUUGAAUGAAAAAGUAACUCUUUGCAACAUUUCCUUCUCAAAUAUUUUACAGUAUAUCUUCAGAAGGAAAAAAGAAAACCUUAUCAUAAUGUACGACGUCAAGUUGAACAUAUAUGAAAAUCUAUUGCAAAAAUAAGCUCAAAAGAGAGGUCUUAUUAUGCCUGUGUAUACUAAUAAACACAACGACCCUCCUCACACUCUCCACUAUGAGUCACGUGUCUCUUUGGAUGAAAAAAUAUAUAAAGCACGAGUAUAUUUUUCCCCACCAAAUGGUGCUGAAAAUACAGCAAACCAAAGUUGCUUAUGAGGCUUUGUCAAAUGUUAAGACCCAGAGGCCGGUAUUCAAACCAACUAAUUUUGAUACUUUUUAUCAUUAUUACUUUUUGUUGUAUCAUAUUUGUGCAUUUCAAUUACUUUAGGAUAAAGGAACAUACAAAAAUGUCUUAUAAGAAAUAGCCCAAAAAAAAGGUCUUAAGUUUCCGUCAUAUGAGACAACCCCAGCAGGUCCUCACAGGGCUGGAUUUGUGUUAAUUGUUGUGGUUGGAAGUGAAACUUUCCAAGGAAUUGAAGCCAGAACUAAGAAGCAGGUAGAAGCAAAUGCUCCUGAAGUGGCUUACAUUGAUCUUAAUUGAGUAAGAAACUUAUUAUUUAUUAGGUUUUGAGUUCGCUCCGACAGCUACGUUAACUAUCGAGUAAGAGCAAUGUCAGUCACUUCAGCAGCAUUUGCUUCUACCUGUUUCUUAGUUCUGGCUUCAAUGCUUUGGAAAGUGUCACUUCCAACCACAACAAUUAACACAAAUUUAGUCUUGUGAGGACCUGCUGGGGAUGUCUCAUAUGACGGAAACUUAAGACCUUCUUUUUGGGUCAUUUCUUAUAGAAUAUUUUUGUAUAUUCCUUUAUCCUAAAAUAAUUAAAAUGCACAAAUGUGAUACAACAAAAAAGCAAUAAUGAUAAAAGCAUCAAAACUAGUUGGUCCGAAUACUGGCCUCAUGGGUCUUAAAAAUUGACAAAGCUUCACAAACAACUUUGUUUCGCUGCAUUUUCAACACUUUUUAGUGAGGAAAAAUAUGCUCGUACUUUAUAUAUUUUUCCAUCCAGAGUAGACACCUGACUUAUAGUGUAAGGAGGGUCGUCGAGUUUAUAAGCAUACACAAGCAUAAUAUGACCUCACCUCUCUUUUGAGCAUACUAUUACAACUUUUUUCCUCUGUAUAUAAAGUAUUGGAGAAGGUAAGGUUGCAAAGAGCAACUUUUUUAUUCAAAGUAUGGGACUAAAGAUGAAGAUCCUAGCUCACCCCCAACUACCGACGCGAUCGUCCACCUGGUAUACCCUCGAAUCGCCCUAAUUUUACUCUAUGGAAUCGACAAUUAUUGUGGAAACCCUAUUUCUACGAGCAGUGGAAUGAAACAUUGGAAACAACUAUCUGUUAAAACUUAUAAAGAGACAUGUCUGUUUUCCUUUAAAAGCUCCAAAACCCAAAUAAAAUGCACUAUUUCCAAAGACAUACCAUUCUCGUACACUUCCUCCAUACUUGUGGUCCCAUACUUUUUAAAACUAACUUGUUCAAUUAUAGUCAUUAUAUAUGUAAUCUUGUUCAAUUAACUUUUUACUAUCUUCAUUCUAGUCCGAUACUGAAGGAAAAAGUUGCUAACUUCAGUCUUGUAGUCAAUCCCAUACUUUGAAUAAAAAAGUAAAUCUUUGCUACCUUUCCUUCUCAAAUAUUUUACAGUCUAUAUUCGGAAGGAAAAAAAAACCUUAUCAUAAUGUACGAAGUCAAGUUGCACAUAUAUGAAAAUCUAUUUCAACAAUAAGCUCGAAAGAGAGGUCUUAUUAUGCCUGUGUAUGUUAAUAAACUCGAUAACCCUCCUCACGUUCUCCACUACAAGUCACGUGUCUCUCUAGAUAGAAAAAUAUAUAAAGCACGAAUAUAUUUUUCCACACUAAAAGGUGCUGAAAAUGCAGCAAACCAAAGUUGCUUGUGAAGCUUUGUCAAUUGUAAAGACCUAAGAGGCUAGUAUUCGAACCAACUAAUUUUGAUGUUUUUAUCGUUAUUGUUUUUUUUUUUUUGUUGCAUCACAUUUGUGCAUUUUAAUUACAUUAAUAUGAAGUAAUAUACAAAAAUGUCCUAAAAGAAAUGGCCCAAAAAGAAGGUCUUAAGUUCACGUCAUAUGAGACGUCCCCAGCAGGUCCUCACAAGACUGGAUUUGUGUCAAUUGUUGUCGUUGAAAUUGAUACUUUCCAAGGAAUUGAAGCCAAAACUAAGUAGCAGGCAGAAGCAAAUGCUGCUGAAGUGGCUUACAUUGAUCUUACUUGAGUAAGAAGCUAAUUAUUUAUUGGAUUUUGAGUUCGCUCCGACAACUAAGUUAACUAUCGAGUAAGAACAAUGUAAGUCACUUCAGCAGCAUUUGCUUCUGCCUAUUUCUUACUUCGGGCUUCAAUUUCUUCGAAGUGUCACUUCCAACCACAACAGUUGAUACAAAUCCAAUCUUGUGAGGACCUGCUGGGGAUGUCUCAUAUGACGGAGCCUUAAAAACCUCUUCUCUGGGUCAUUUCUUGUAGGACAUUUUUGUAUAUUCCUUCAUCCUAAAGUAAUUAAAAUGCACAAAUGUGAUAUAACAAAAAAGCAAUAAUGAUAAAAGCAUCAAAAUUAGUUGGUCCGAAAUACUAGCCUCAACAAUUGACAAAGCUUCACAAGCAACAAUGGUUCCCUACAUUUUCAUCACCUUUUAGUGUGGAAAAAUAUGUUCGUGCUUUAUAUAUUUUUCCAUCCAGAGAGACACCUGACUUGUAGUGGAGAGCGUGAAGAGGGUCGUCGAGUUUAUAAGCAUACACAAGCACAAUAAGACCUCUCUUUUGAGCAUAUUGUUGCGGUAGAUUUACGUAUAUGUGCAACUUGACUUCGUACAUUAUGACAAUAUUUUCUUUUUUCCUUCUGUAGAUAGACUGUAAAAUAUUUGAGAUCAUAAGGUUGCACUUUGCAAUUUUUUCAUUCAAAGUAUGGGACUAAGAAUGAAGAUCCCAGCUCACCCCCCAACUACCGAUGUGAUCGUCCGCUUGGUAUACCCCUAAAUCGCCCUAAUUUUACAAUAUCGGGUCGACAAUUAUUGUGGACACCCUAUUUCUACGAGUUGUGGAAUGAAGCAUUGGAAACAGCUAUCCGUUAAAACUUAUAAAGAGACGUGUCUAUUUUUCUUUAAAAGUUCCAAAACCCAAAAAAAAAUGCACUCUUUUCAAAGACAUAUCAUUCUCGUGCAUUUCCUCCAUACUUGUGGUCCCAUACUUUGUAAAACUAACUUGUGCAAUUAUAGUCAUUCUAUAUGUAAUCUUGUUCAAUUAACUUUUUGCUAUCUUCAUUCGUAGUUCGAUACUAAAGGAAAAAGUUGUUAACUUCAUUCUUGUAGUCAAUCUCAUACUUUGAAUGAAAAAGUAACUCUUCGCUAUCUUUCCUUCUCAAAUAUUUUACAGCCUACCUUCGGAAGGAAAAACAAAACCUUAUUAUAAUGUACAAAGUCAAGUUGCACAUAUAUGAAAAUCAAUUGCAACAAUAAGCUCAAAAGAGAGGUCUUGUUAUGCCAAUGUGUGCUAAUAAACUCGACAACCCUCCUCACGCUUUCAACUACAAAUAACAUGUCUCUCUGGAUGGAAAAAUAUAUAAAGCACAUGCAUAUUUUUCCACACUAAAAGGUGUUGAAAAUGUAGCAAACCAAAGUUGCUUGUGAAGCUUUGUUAAUUGUAAAGACCCAAGAGGCCAGUAUUCGGACCAACUAAUUUUGUUGUUUUUAUCGUUAUUGCUUUUUGUUGUAUCACAUUUGUGCAUUUUAAUUACUUUAAGAUGAAGGAAUUUACAAAAAUGUCCUACAAGAAAUGGCCCAAAAAGAAGGUCUUAAGUUCACGUCAUAUGAGACAUCCCCAGCAAGUUCUCACAAGACUGGAUUUGUGUCAAUUGUUGUUGUGGUCGGAAAUGACACUUUCCAAGGAAUUGAAGCUAGAACUAAGUAGCAGGCAUAAGCAAAUGCUACUGAAGUGGGUUACAUUGAUCUUACUCGAGUAAGAAACUAAUUAUUUAUUGGGUUUUGAGUUCGCUCCGACGGCUAAGUCAACUAUCGAGUAAGAGCAAUGUAAGUCACUUUAACAGCAUUUGCUUCUGCCUGCUUCUUAGUUCUAGCUUCAAUUCCUUGGAAAGUGUCACUUCCAACCACAACAAUUGAAACAAAUCCAGUCUUGUGAGGACCUGCUGGGGAUGUCUCAGAUGACAGAGACUUAAGACCUCCUCUCUGGGUCAUUUCUUGUAGGACAUUUUUGUAUAUUCCUUCAUCCUAAAGUAAUUGAAAUGCACAAAUGUGAUACAACAAAAAAGCAGUAACGAUAAAAGCGUCAAAAUUAGUUGGUCCGUAUAUUGGCCUCUUGGGUCUCAACAAUUGACAAAGCUUCACAAGCAACUUUGGUUCCCUGCAUUUUCAACACCUUUCAGUGUGGGAAAAUAUGUUCGUGCUCUAUAUAUUUUUCCAUCCAGAGAGACACCUAACCUAUAGUGGAGAGCGUGAGGAGGGUCGUCGAGUUUAUAAGCAUACAUAAGCACAAUAUGACCUCUAUUUUCAGCAUAUUGUUGCAAUAGAUUUACGUAUAUGUGCAACUUGAGUUCGUACAUUAUGAUAUAAUUUUCUUUUUUCCUUCCGUAGAUAGACUGUAAAAUAUUUAAUGUAAAGUUGCAAAAAGCAACUUUUUCAUUCAAAGUUUUAAUUUUUAUAUGCUAAGCUUAAUUUUUCUUUCAAAAUCCAGUUAUAUCUUUGAAUGAAAAAGUAAGCUUAGCAUAUAAAAAUUAAAACUUUGAAUGAAAAAGUUGCUCUUUGCAACCUUACAUUCUCAAAUAUUUUAUAGUUUAUCUACGGAAGGAAAAAAGAAAACCUUAUCAUAAUGUACGAAGUGAAAUUGCACAUAUACAUAAAUCUAUUUCAAAAAUAUGCUUAAAAGAGAGGUCUUAUUGUGCUUGUGUAUGCUUAUAAAGUCGACGACCCUCCUCACACUCUCCACUACAAGUCAGGUGUCUCUUUGGAUGGAAAAAUAUAUAAAGCACGAACAUAUUUUUCCACACUAAAAGGUGAUGAAAAUGCAAGGAACCAAAGUUGCUUGUGAAGCUUUGUCAAUUGUUGAGACCCAAGAGGCCAGUAUUCGGACCAACUAAUUUUGAUGCUUUUAUCGUUAUUGCUUUUUUGGUGUAUCACAUUUGUGCAUUUUAAUUACUUUAGGAUGAAGGAAUAUACAAAAAUGUCCUACAAGAAAUGGCCCAAAAAGUAGGUCUUAAGUUCACAUCAUAUGAGACAUCCCCAACAAGUCCUCACAAGACUGGAUUUGUGUCAAUUGUUGUGGUUGGAAGUGACACUUUCCAAGGAAUUGAAGCCAGAACUAAGUAGCAGGCAGAAGCAAAUGCUGCUGAAGUGGCUUACAUUGGUCUUACUCGAGUAAGAAGCUAAUUAUUUAUUGGGUUUUGAGUUCGCUCCGACGGCUAAGUCAACUAUCGAGUAAGAGCAAUGUAAGUCACUUCAGCAGCAUCUGCUUCUGCCUGCUCGAGUAAGAAGCUAAUUAUUUAUUGGGUUUUGAGUUCGCUCCGACGGCUAAGUCAACUAUCGAGUAAGACCAAUGUAAGCCACUUCAGCAGCAUUUGCUUCUACCUGCUACUUAGUUCUGGCUUCAAUUCCUUGGAAAGUGUCACUUCCAACCACAACAAUUGACACAAAUCCAGUCUUGUGAGGACUUGUUGCUGUUGGGGAUGUCUCAUAUGACGUGAACUUAAGACCUACUUUUUGGGUCAUUUCUUGUAGGACAUUUUUGUAUAUUCCUUCAUCCUAAAGUAAUUAAAAUGCACAAAUGUGAUACACCAAAAAAGCAAUAACGAUAAAAGCAUCAAAAUUAGUUGGUCCGAAUACUGGCCUCUUGGGUCUCAACAAUUGACAAAGCUUCACAAGCAACUUUGGUUCGCUGCAUUUUCAACACCUUUUAGUGUGGAAAAAUAUGUUCGUUCUUUAUAUAUUUUUCCAUCCAAAGAGACACCUGACUUGUAGUGGAGAGCGUGAGGAGGGUCGUCGAGUUUAUAAGCAUACACAAGCACAAUAAGACCUCUCUUUUGAGCAUAUUGUUGUAACAGAUUUAAGUAUAUGUGCAACUUGACUUCGCACAUUAUGAUAUGUUUUUCUUUUUUCCUUCCAUAGAUAGACUGUAAAAUAUUUAAGAACUUAAAGUUGCAAAGAGCAACUUUUUCAUUCAAAGUAUGGGACUAAGAAUGAAGAUCCCAGCUCACCCCCAACUAUCGACGCGAUCGUCCGCCUGGUAUACCCCCGAAUCACCCUAAUUUUACUCUAUCGGGUCGAUAAUUGUUCUGGAAACCCUAUUUCUACGAGCAGUAGAAUGAAGCACUGGAAAUAGCUAUUCAUUAAAACUUAAAAAGAGACGUGUCUGUUUUCCUUUAAAAGCUCCAAAACCCAAAAAAAAAAAAUACACUCUAUCCAAAGACAUACCAUUCUCGUGCAUUUCCUCCAUACUUGUGGUCCCAUACUUUGUAAAACUAACUUAUUUAGUUAUAAUCAUUCUAUAUGUAAUCUUGUUCAAUUAACUUUUUGCUAUCUUCAUUCGUAGUUCGAUACUGAAGGAAAAAAAAGUUGCUAACUUCAUUCUUGUAGUCAAUCCCAUACUUUGAAUGAAAAAGUAAUUCUUUGCUACCUUUCCAUCUCAAAUAUUUUACAAUCUAUCUUCGAAAGGAAAAAAAUGCCUUCUCAUAAUGUACGAGGUCAAGUUGUACAUAUACGUAAAGCUGCUGCAACAAUAUGCUCAAAAGAGAGGUCUUAUUGUGCUUGUGUAUGCUUAUAAACUCGACAACCCUCCUCACGCUCUCCACUACAAGUUAGGUGUCUCUCUGGAUGGAAAAAUAUAUAAAGAACGAAUAUAUUUUUCCACAUUAAAAGGUGUUGAAAAUGCAGCGAACCAAAGUUGGUUGUGAAGCUUUGUUAAUUGUUGAGACCCAAGAGGCCAGUAUUUGGACCAACUAAUUUUGAUGCUUUUAUCGUUAUUGCUUUUUUGGUGUAUCACAUUUGUGCAUUUUAAUUACUUUAGGAUGAAGGAAUAUACAAAAAUGUCCUACAAGAAAUGGCCCAAAAAGUAGGUCUUAAGUUCACGUCAUAUGAGACAUCCCCAACAGGUCCUCACAAGACUGGAUUUAUGUCAAUUGUUGUGGUUGGAAGUGACACUUUCCAAGGAAUUGAAGCCAGAACUAAGUAGCAGGCAGAAGCAAAUGCUGUUGAAGUGGCUUACAUUGGUCUUACUUGAGUAAGAAGCUAAUUAUUUAUUGGGUUUUGAGUUCGCUCCGACGGCUAAGUCAACUAUCGAGUAAGAGCAAUGUAAGUCACUUCAGCAUCAUUUGCUUCUGCCUGCUUCUUAGUUCUGGCUUCAAUUCCUUAGAAAGUGUCACUUCCAACCACAACAAUCGAAACAAAUCCAAUCUUGUGAGGACUUGUUGGGGAUGUCUCAUAUGAUGUGAACUUAAGACCUACUUUUUGGGCCAUUUCUUGUACGACAUUUUUGUAUAUUCCUUCAUCCUAAAGUAAUUAAAAUGCACAAAUGUGAUACACCAAAAAAGCAAUAACGAUAAAAGCAUCAAAAUUAGUUGGUCCGAAUACUGGCCUCUUGGGUCUCAACAAUUGACAAAGCUUCACAAGCAACUUUGGUUCCUUGCAUUUUCAUCACCUUUUAGUGUGGAAAAAUAUGUUCGUGCUUUAUAUAUUUUUCCAUCCAAAGAGACACCUGACUUGUAGUGGAGAGUGUGAGGAGGGUCGUCGACUUUAUAAGCAUACACAAGCACAAUAAGACCUCUCUUUUAAGCAUAUUUUUGAAAUAGAUUUAUGUAUGUGCAAUUUCACUUCGUACAUUAUGAUAAGGUUUUCUUUUUUCCUUCCGUAGAUAAACUAUAAAAUAUUUGAGAAUGUAAGGUUGCAAAGAGCAACUUUUUCAUUCAAAGUUUUAAUUUUUAUAUGCUAAGCUUAAUUUUUCUUUCAAAAGCCAGUUAUAUCUUCGAAACUAUUAAUAGAACAAGUUUCUUGUAAUAGCUUCACUCUUACAAAUGCUCGUAAUCCUUCAAAGGGAUAAUCGAAUCAUAAGCUUUCCAAACAAAGAGACAGAUGCUCAGAGGUACACUAAAUCCUUUUGUCUUCCUUUUCAUUUUAUGUUAACAUCCAAGUUCAAGAAUUUCCGCAUAUCAUAACUCUUCAUGAAAAAAUUCUUCAUUUGAGUCGAUAAGCAUUUCAAUGCUCAGAAUUUUUCAAAUGCAGCUAAGAAAUUUCACAUAAAGUAGACAGUCUCCAAUUCACAUAAUAUAUUAUAAUACAAACCCUGAUAUCAUACACUAAAUUAUAGAUACACAAAGUUACCGCUACUAAUAUAAAUAGACGUUUAUAAAUGAGACAGUUGCAAAGCCACAUGAUGUCUUGGCCGCCACAAAAUUUUGGAAUUUCCUUUUUCUUUUUAUACUUUUCUCCAAAAUUUAAAUUUUAUUCCUCUCCUCUUUUUAACUGCGCAUAAAGUUUUCCUUAAGGGCACAAAUUUGAAAUCAUUAGUUAAAUUAUCAUUCUUAAUCUAGAGUUUGUUAAUUCCAUCAAAAUCUAACGUUUGUCGCUACUCAACUCGCCGAUGCCGAUGACAACCACAAAUGUUUAGCAACCUCUCAAGCCUCAACCCACAGUCACGCAGUUUUCAAAAAAAAAAAAAAAAAUUUACAACUUACUUUUUGACCACACAAUGGAAAACGUCUAGCUCUGCCAUUCAUUGUAGAAGAACCAGGUUCAUCAGUUUUGCUGUGUUGAAACUUGAACGAAGUUGGUUCCUCAAGAAUUUUAUAAAUUAUAAAAGAGGAUAAUUACAACAUAUUAAUUAUUAGAGUGUUGACUGUACUUCCAAACACAAGUAAAUGAUUGCAAGCGAGGAGCAAAACUAUUGGUAAACAAUAUUCUCAUCCAUGAACAUACCUGGAAGGCAAAUAUAACGUCAUAUGUGUGACCUCCAAAAUGACCAGGCUGCACAUGAGACCAACAAUACAAAGAAUCAGUGCUAGACUCUUCAGUGGCAAGAUUUUUAGUAAAUUUUCCAUUCUCCAUCGCUGUGAAAAAAAAAUAGCGUUGCCUGUCUAAAAAUUCUGCUACACAAUCACCAGUUAUAGGUGUAUAUAUGAUGUAAAUGCUUAUAUGAGGUCAAAAUCAAUAAAAUCGCCUGAACGCAACAGCUUCAAACUAUUACUCAAUUCGAGGAAAAAUGAUGUUUGCUGGAAAAAAAAAUGAAUAUAUAUAUGAUUACAUGUGAAUAAACCUAAUUUAAUAUCACACUCAAAAAAUGAAUUGUACACAGAAAAUACAAAAGCGAAGUUGGUAUAUAGAUAAUUUUCACUGGAUCCUAGAAUGCCAAAUUCAUUUUUAUUAUGAAAAUAAUAUAGAAGUUGAAUCAGCCUCAGGAAAAGGACCAUCAACUUGACAAUGGCAAGACAUCUGUUGGAUAGAAAAAUAAGGAAGAAGCUGUUUGUACUGUACAUGUACAGCCCCCUCACUGUGCUUUGGGGCCGAGCUGUGCACACAGCACAGCUCGAAAAAUAAUUUCUUGCUGAUUGAUGACAAGCCCAGAAAAUUUCUUGUUCUUAGUGGACUCUCUCCUAUUUAAAGCGCAGAAUUUUUCAGAAUAAUUUUACCCACCUACACAUGUUUGUAUAGCAACAAAAGAUGUAUCUGACAUGUACCAACUUGUUUCUUAAAAAAUGACUACCAUAUGAAGGAAGAGAGUAGGUAAUCGGAGCUAACCUGGUCUAACCUUAAUAGUCCCACCAUAAACCAUGAUACUCGGCCGGUUAAGUCGUCCCAUUGCCAUAAUGAUGCCUGGCAUCUACAAUAAUACGAGUAGUUUGCAACAUUUGAGGACCUUAACAGAAGUAACACCAUGACACAACUUUACCAAGGAAAUUUAUUGAAAUGAAGGAAAGGGAACACUAUUGACUAAAGAAACCAAAUUCGCUAAGGAAAGUAUUUCAUCAACUAAAAGAGGGGAUUGCGUGUACAUAUAUAUAAACUUCUUCAUAGAAAAAGAACAAGUGUGCAUUCCUUUCUGAGAAUCUUCAUCAGUUAAAAAUAGAAUUGCAGAAUACGGAAAUUUGAACAAUUUAAUGCGAAAUAGAAAUGCAUAAAAUUUCCAAGGAUGGCCCCUUCUCCUUCAUGUCUCCAGGUAAGAGUACUUUUGUGUAUAAACUGAAAUUCACAAGGGAAGCAACCAGCAAGGAUAUUGGUCGUCUCAUGUUUUAAAAUUAAAAUGGAAGCCUGAAAAUCCUUUUUUCACAGUGGUCAAACUCACCAAAGAACUCUAUCCAAGUUUAACUCUUCCACUGCAUUUCCAACAACUAACUCGCCUAUUUUUAUAGAUGAAAAAAUGUCCCAUGCACUACAUUCAGAAUUAGAGCUUCUUCUUUCUUUGAAAGCCAGACGGCGAAGAGUGUGACCAUCAAAAGCUACAAAUGCUCGUUACUAAUAGCCAUGUACGUCUACAUGAACAAUUAAAUACAGAUGCAGAAAUACACCCCAAAACAUUUAAAAAGCUCACAUAUUGUUACAAUAAAAAAAAAUAAUGCAAUUAACUGGCUGUUUAUUCUGAUAAUCACUUUGUGCUCAGGUACUUGAAGUAUUUAACGAAAAAGUAUCUAAAGAAGAACAAUGUGUGUGAUUGGCUGCAGGUGAUUGCUUUGAACAAGGAUAGAAAUGUUUUUGAAUUGAGGUACUUCAACAUUGCUGAGAAUGAGGCUGAGGAGGAAGAGUAAUGGAACUGGAAGAACAGUUAUUAUUCAUAUUUCCCGAGUUCAUUUUUGUUUUAGCUAGUGUUUACUGUGUUGGACAUCAGUUUCAAUUUUGUUUUCGGAAUCAAACGAUUUAGAUCUUAGAUAUAUAAUGGAGUUUAACUAUUAUUUCGGUAUUAAUAUGCUGUAAACUUCAUUUGCAAUGUUAUCUCGUGAAUGGUUUAUGAUUUACUCGUGGGGUUGCUUGGACGGGGCUGGAUCAGAUCGUGACUUGUCAUGGAUAUAGUAUUUCUUCAUUUAAGAGCAAUAUAAUAUAAAAUCUACCAUUCAGUGUAUGAAUUUGAGUACUUACCCAAUAUGGAAACUGAAAAUUGCAGGCCCUAUUGACCAGCUGCCAAAUCUGAAUUCCAGCUGACAAAGAGACACGUGAUCCACCACUUCAAUUCAAAUUUAAAUUUUUGGAAGAGUCAUCAACUAUAGAUACACAAUAGAUACAAAAUACUUCCAACCAUCAACAAAGAGAAUGAUACGUCCAGUAGUGGCUGAAAGCACCCAGAAACGACCAGCUGAACGGACUCAAAGACCACCAAUCUGCCAAAACCGUCAUUUGAACGAGCCACGAGCCACUCGGCUCAUGGCUCGUGGACAGUCACUUUUUCAGUGUCCGUUUAUUUUUAGUGACCCAAACGAUCACUGAAAUUCAGUGGUCGUUUCAGUCACUGAGCUUUUUUAUUUUAAUUGUUUUCCUCACUACACAUCUAUUAUAAAUAUCCCCCUAAUCUCCAUUUUUUUUUCAUAUCAAAACUCCAUUCUCACUUAUCAACUCUUAUAUCAAUUAUCAAGUUUUUACUCUCUCUUGUACUGUUGUGCAAAAUAUAUAAUAUUGACUCAUUUUUUAUAGUUUAUUCAGUUACAAUUUCAAUUCAUCCAAUUCUCAGUUCUCACUAUAUUUAUAUUUUUGCUAGUUAUUAUAUUUAGAUUUCAUCACAAACUACAAAACAAAUGGAUCAAUGCUCAUUUGUUGAGAGCUUGUUUGAUACAAGAUGUGGGCUACAUGGCAAAUCACCUAGGACGUUGCAAAAUCAAUUUUCGAAUGAAUUUGUCGGUCUAAAUGACGCACCCAUUCCUGAAGAUUUUCACGUUCAUGGUCAUGAAAGCCACAAUCCAAUUGAUUUUGAUGAUAUUAACGUUCUUAAAACAAAACAUGAAGAUGAAGAUGCCAAAUUAAACAUCCCAGAUGCGAGGGGAAAGCGAAAGGAAAAAAAUAAACAAAAUAUUGGGAUCACUUUAAGUUGAUUUUAACAGGAAAAGUCAUCGAUAACCUCGUAGAAUCUAAGGCAGUAUUUACAUACUGCCAACAAAGAUUGGAAUGACAAAAAGGAAUUAGUACCACCCAUCUCAACCGUCACUACAAAGCAUGUACGGCCAGAUAUGGACUUCUUUCAGCUCGUCAAACACAAUUGCAAUUUGACAGUCCAGGCGCCGGUUUUAUGACUUCAUCCCUAUCCACGUAAAUGUUUAGAAGACAAUACUCGAACUGAAAUGGUGAAAUUUGUUGCCGCCACUGAGUUGCCUCUGGCUAUUGACGAUAACCAACACUCUGUCUCGUUCGUGAAAAAAUAUCUGUAACCAAGGUACGUUGAGGUAAGUGGAAACACUCUUCGUGUCGAUACAAUAUAAUAUUUCAAUGAUUCAAAACAACUAUUAAUUAUGACUUUGUAAUAAUAUGUGGGAGUUAUAUCUUUAACUUCUGAUAUAUGGUAAGAGGUUAAUAAAAUAGCAUAUAUAGCUGCAACCGUACACUAUAUAGAUCCACUUUGGUGCAUGCAUAAAAAAUUACUGCUUUUAGAAUUAUUGAGUUUCCGCACAAUGCUAAUAAUAUAUAUAAUGCUAUUAUCAGUAUUGUUAGAAAAUAUAAUUGAGAGACUCAAAUUCGAUCUUUUACUUUCGAUAAUGCUAGUGUUAAUAAGGUAGUCGUCGAUAAAUUGUAUAGGGUACGUCAACCUGAUCUCGGUGAGUAUUUGUUUCAUAUUCGUUAUGUGUGCCAUAUUUUGAAUUUAAUUGUGUAAGAUGGCUUAAAAUAUAUAAAGGAUGAACUUCAAAGAAUUAGGAACGCAUUUCUAUAUAUAUAUUACGAUUUCUCCUAGUAGAAAAUAAGCAUUUGAAGAUUUUUGUGCCGAACUAAAGCUGACGACUGCUAAAACAUUUGUUAGCGACAUAGGUCAUAGAUGGAACUCUACUUACUUGCUACUAAAGUCAUGUGAAAGUUUCGAACAUUUAAUAACUGACUUUUAUAACAAUAGACACAUUAAAAGCGAUGGCGAUAGAAUGUUGAAUGAAUUCGAUUGGAUUUUAGCUUUGAACACAAAGAUUUUAUCUGACAUUUAUUAUUCCACAAGCUGUAUAGUUCUUGAACAUCUUUAUAUAAUUGCAAAAACAUUCCAUAAAUAUAAAAAUGAUCAUGAUUUUAGUGAAAUUAUAAUUGCGAUGAAAUUAAAGUUUAGAAAAUAUUGGAAAGAACUGCCUAUGUUAUUUCCUUUAACAUAGGCAAUGGGACCCCCAAUAUAAUAUAUUGGGAAAAUACGUAAUUGAUCAAAUCAAUAAAACCUUAAUACUUGAUACAACGAUCACCUAUAGGAAUUUAGAGCAAAUAUUAUGUGGAAUGUAUGAUUAAUAUACAGAACGGAUGGGUGGGAAUGUUAGUCGAGUAUCCUCUGUACCUACUUCUUCGGUUGAAAUUGAAGAUGGUGCCAAAAUAAUGAAUUUAUUUUAAGGCAUUAAUACGUUUAGAUAUGAUGCAACUGCAAUGUGUUCAUCUAGUGUCAUGUCGUCUACACUUGUAUCUCAUCAAACAUCGAUCGCAACUCAAAAUGUUAUGUCUGCCGAAUUAAUUGAUUACUUCAAUCAUUAUAUGCCAAUAGACAAAACAAUUAAAAAAAGUUCAGAAGAAGUAAUUGAAUUCUAGUGAAAGUAUGAAAGACGUUGGUCAAUUAUUUCUGCAAUUGUGAAAGAUCUACUGACACCUCCGGUUAGCACUAUUACUUCAGAGAUUGCUUUUAGUGCAAGUAAAAGGGUUUUGACCGAUAUGAGGAGCUGACUAAAAGAAGAUGUUAUGAAAGCGUUAAUGUACGUGAAGAAUUGGCAAGACGCUCAUUUUCGACUACAAGAUAAAUACUCUAAAAUUGCAUAUCGUCAGGUAAGUAAUAUUUGAUUUAAUUAUAUUAAUCAAAAAUUUUUAUUUUUUAAUCGUUAAAUUUAAUUUUCUUUAAAAAUUUGUACCCGUUAGAACAAGUUGUUUGUGUACAAUUUUUAACUCCGCCUACUUAAAAUUAAUAUAGUCGGUCUCAAGUUCGGAUAAAGGAGAAGGGUUUACAUUUUAUCUACUUUAAAAAAAAUCAAAAAAAUGUAUUUUUAAAAAAAUUCGUCUUCAUUACAUAAAUAUUUAAUAUUUUAUAGAAAAUAUUACAAUAUGAUAGAAAUUAAAAAAAAAAUGUCUUCAUUAAAUUAUUUUUAAAAAAAAUGCAUUAAAUUAUUUGUGUUUUUUUAACACUUUUUAUUAUUUUUUUUAAAAGUGUCUUCAUUAAAUUAUUUGUAUUUUUCAGUAUUUAUAAUUAUAAAAAAAAUAUGGACGAGCUCGCGAGCCAAAGCUUGGCUCGGCCCACGAGGCUCGACCCAUGAGCUCAUGGGCCUAGCCGAGCUUGCCCAAAAUGAAUGAGCCAAGCUUGAGCUCAGCUCGUUCAAAAUGAGCCACGAGCUCGUGAGUUUACGGGCCGAGCCCCUACUCACUAGGCUUGAAAGCACCUCUCUGUUGACUGUCUAUUUUUCAUUUGUAUAAAUUCUGCCCUGGAUCAUUUUUGCUGCUCUGAAUUCGCAGACUUGUAGUUUAUUUGUAGUUUCCAUUUCUAGCUUUCUGAUUCCCCUGCUGACCCAACCUAAUCCCCUUCUUUUGUGCUUGUUUGGCCUGGACUUUUUGGGUUUUACGUGGGCUAACUAGCCCAACUUUCUCUCUUGCUGGGCCAUUUCAUGCUCUGUCUUUGUGUGGGCAAGAAAAAAUCUGGUGCCAGCCCAUUAUAUUAAACCUCGGGCAGUUAGGAAGUCGGAUUUUGGAGGAUGUGGUGACGUAUCUUUGAAGAUCAAUUUGGAUGAGAGUAAAAAAGGAAAAUUUAUCCUCACCUAGUGUAUCAUUAAUGCUUGGGGAAGAGGAUACAGAAUUUGAAAAUUCUGAUUUUGAGUUACAAACGACGGAAUUGAAGAACCAACAAAAGAAAAUGUUGCUAGGAUUGAUGUUGAAAAAAAAUGUUAAAGCGCCAUGGGUAAACCUCUUCAAGGACAAUAGGAAAGUGAAGGAAAAUAUUUAGUUAAAGCCCUUCGAAAAUCAAUUGGAAGAAGUGGUUUUGGGCAAAUCGGAUGAAGACAAUAUUGAGAGCACUUGGGGAUAUGGUCUUGUUGGGUAUUUUGCCGAUAGAUUUCCAGGAAAAGCAGCCUUACUCCAAUUAUGUGAUUCCUGGAAGGUUAAUUACAAAUAUUAUGUACACUCGAGCGGAUGGUUGGUUUUCAAAUUUGAGACGGAUUUGGAAAGACUAAGUGUGUUGCAUGGUGGUCCCUACUUGGUAUAUGGGAGGCCAUUAAUGUUAAAAGUCAUACCCCGUUACUUUUAUUUUGAUGACAAAGACGUUAGCACUAUGUCGGUUUGGAUAAACUUACUGGGGUUGCCAUUGAAGUUUUGGAACACGAGUGCCUUGGAUAAAAUUGUCUCCAAGGUUGAUAAGCCCAUCUCGACCAAUAAGGUCACGGUAACUAGAGGGAGAUUAUCAUAUGCAAGAGCACUAGCUGAAGUUGAUGCAUCUAUUGAGCUUGUGCGGGUGGUGAAGAAAAGGCUUCCAAAUGGCACUUUGAGGGAGCAAGAAAUCUUGUUCGAACAUGAGCCAAAGUUUUGUGGUUCUUGUAAAGUGUUUGGACACUCUACUCUUGGUUGCAACCACAACAAACAAGCAAUAGAUGACAAAGGAAACACCAAAAAUGGCAAGGCAUUAAAUCCUCUCAUGCCGACGGUAGAAGAGAGAAUGUACAGGUUGGACAGAUUCAUGCAAUUUCAAAUUUGCAGCAAUUUACAGCUAAGACAGCAACACAAUCUCAAGUUAAUUCAGCUAGAAAUGAGGGACAACAGGCUAUGGACAUGGAUGACCAGAAGGGGCAGCCUUCGAAUUAAAAUUGUACACAGCUACAUUCGGAUGUUGUGGAUGACCAGUAGGGGCAGAUUCUGGACCAGGUGGAUGCUCCAUUCAUUGAAGUAGUUAACAGGAAAAUGGAGCUGGUCGUGGAAAAAAAAUCAGUAAGUAUUGCAUCAUCUCAAGUGCCGACAAAUGAUAGUUGUCAAAUGGAGAUUUCUGGGGCAGAUUCUACGUCCAAAGUGAGAGAGGCGGCCUCCAAACAUGCAUGCAAUGAAAAGCUCAAAGGGAAGAUUGAUGAGACAAGAAAAGCUGGGACUAAAGUUGACAAAAAGAAGGGUUCCUUCCUUGCUUCAACAUCAUGAAGAUCGCAUCGUAGAAUAUUAGGGGUUUGAAUCUCCCCCAAACAAAAUGAGAUCCUGGAGUUCAUCAAGCUACAUUGCAUUGAUGUUAUGGGUAUUUUGGAGAUGAAGCUUAGAGAAACUAAGUUGAAUCGAGUUAUGCGGAAAAAUUUUGAUGGCUUUAUGCAAGUCAAUAAUUUUUGUACUCAUAGAGCCGGGCGGAUUUUGAUCUUGUGGAAUCCAUCCAAAGUUAAUUUGGAAGUUUUGGAGACUACUCUGCUAAUCAUUCAUUGUAUCGCUACUUGUAAGGUAACGCCUUAUACCUUUCUUGUUAGCUUUGUUUAUGCUUUUCAUACAAUUGUUAGCCAAAGGCCGCUUUGGAACAACAUCAUGGAUUUCAAUGUAAAUGUUUCAUUGCCUUGGAUGAUUCUUGGUGAUUUUAACAACGUACUCAAGUUUGAUGAGAAAAGUAACGGUACGAAGGUAACCCCCUAUGAAAUUAAAGAUUUUGCUAAUUGUUGUCUUCAUGUUGAUUUUGCGGAUGUGCACUCUAUUGGUUGUCUUUACACAUGGACUAAUAAUUCGGUGUGGAGCAAAAUUGAUAGGGCUAUGGUGAAUGACAUUUGGGUGCAAAAUGGUACAUAUGGAUUUGCUGAUUUUUUACCUUCAGAGUGCCUUUCCAACCAUUCUCCAUGUAUUGUGACUGUUCAUGACCGUGAGGUGAACACCAGGAAAUCAUUCAAAAUCUACAACAUGUGGACAAGUCAUGAAGAUUUCCAUGGACUUGUUCAAGUAAGCUGAAUUUUGAUGUGGUGGGGACAAAGCAAUUUGUUCUUUGUAAGAAGUUGCAUAAGUUAAAAUGAGCAUUGAAGGAGCUAAAUGUUAAGCACUUUGGGCACAUUUCUACUUGGGCAAAUGAGGCUAAAAGAGAAUUGGAGGCUGCCCAACUCAUGCUUCAUGAUCAGCCCACAAACAAGCAUAAUCAACUUAUGGUGGCAAGUUUGAGAAAGAAAGUCAUGGGAUAUGUGAAGUGGAACGUACCUUUUAUUAUCAACAAGCAAAGUGCAUUUUCCUUAAACAAAGUGACAAGUGUACAAAAUUCUUCCACACGGUAGUGAAAAGGAACACAAGGAGAAACUUUAUUGCUACUAUGCUCAAAGAGGAUAGGAUGUAUACUACUUCACAAGAACAAGUUGCUCGGGAAUUUGUCCAACUUUACACCAACUUACUUGGUAAAAGUGAGCCGGUUCGGCCUAUUGAGCUGGACAUUAUUAGCAAUGGACCUUUGAUAUCUUUGGAACAAGGCAACUCAUUGAUCUAGGAAAUUUCUAAUGAUGAGAUCAAAAGAAGCACUCUUUGGUAUUGGAGAUAAUAAAUCUUCCAGGACGGAUGGUUACACUUUAUGUUUAUUUAAAAAAGCAUGGGGGACUAUUUAACAUGAUUUUGUGGAGGAUAUCAUGGAAUUCUUCUAAUUGGGAUCCAUCCUCAAACAAAUCAACCACACGGUCAUUGCUUUGGUGCCAAAGUCAAGUCACGCACCUAGCAUUGUAGAUUAUAGGCUUAUAUCUUGUUGUAAUGUUAUCUACAAAAUGAUUAUUAACAUCCUCACUUCUAGAUUGAGGCCUAUCUUGGAGAAUAUUGUGGACCAUGCACAAGCCACUUUUGUUGAAGGUAGGAUUAUGAUGGAAAACAUCUAUCUUGCCCAAGAACUCAUGAGAAAAUAUAAUAAAAAAGGGUUGCUCUAAGAUGCCUCCUAAAUAUUGAUCUAAGGAAAGCUUAUGAUUCGAUAAGUUGGGAUUUCCCAAAAGGUGUUUUUGAAGGGUUGCACUUCCCUUUGAGAUUUAUACAAUGGGUUAUGGAAUGUAUUACUUCUCCAACAUAUUCCAUAGCUUUGAACGGAAGUUUACAUGGUUUCUUCAAAAGAGUGAAAGGCUUCCAGCAAGGUGAUCCUCUAUCCCCAGUUUUGUUCGUGCUUUGUACUGAAUAUUUUUCAAGAAUGUUUAGGGCUGUCACGAAUGAUAGUGAAUUCAAUUAUCAUCCUAAUUGUGGCCCCUUAAAGAUCACUCACUUAGCUUUUGCGAAUGAUUUGAUGCUCUUUGCAAGGGGAUAUUUUUAGUCGGUACAAAUCUAAUGGAUUACCUUUCCAACUAUGGUCUUGUAUCGGGUUUAAGGAUGAAGAUCCUAAAAUCCAACUUGUAUACAACUAGUAUUCGAAGGCAAGAGCUUGAUGAUAUACUUGAACUCACAAAUUUCCCGAAGGUUACUAUGUCGUUCCAUUAUUUGGGCAUCCAUCUUGUCCUAAAGUUAGUUGUUAUGCUCAAUUUCUUGAAAAAAAAAAUACAGCUUAUAUUGAUGCUUGGAAUUGCUCCUCUCUAUCUUAUGUGGGCAAGGUGGAACUUAUUAGGGCGGUCCUUCAAGGUGCUGAAUGUUUUUGGCUUUCCAUCUUCCUUAUUCCGACUGCAAUUAUCUCAAGAAUUGUUAGCCUUUGUCGAAAAUUUCUUUGGGGCUCCAAGAAGCCUUUGGUGGUGUGGAAGGAUGUUUGCCUUCCAAAAGAUGAAGGGGGUCUUGGGUUGAAGGACUUGAAGAGUUGGAACUUAGCUUUACUCACUAAAUCCCUUUGGAAUAUUCAACAUAAAAAGGACACUCUCCCCUCUUCAAAAAACUGCUAGAUUUCAUGGAUAUGUUGCUAAAAACUGUUCCUGCUCCCCAGAUUUGUGAACAAGGACAGCCCAUGCUAUCCAUUUAGAUGGUGGGAGGAAACAACCUGAUUAUAUCUGCUGGAAUAACCUCAAGUCAGUGUGUUGUGUUUCCACAGAACAGUGAGUGUUUUCAGGCAAUUCUGGAUAGAUUUAAGGCCUGGUCAACUGGUGAAAAAUUAUGCACAAAAAUGACCUAUGAUUACUUCCGGUCGAGAAGUACAAAGAGGAUUCGAUCUGCUGAUGCUUGGAGAUCUUGCAUAACAUCGAAGCACUCAUUUUUGCUUUGGUUAGCGGUUCAAUCUAAACUCCUAACUAAAGACAAAUUUCAAUAUUUGGAUAUCGAUUGUAAUUGUGUUCUUUGUGGGCAUAUGGCGGAAACAAACCGUUACUCAUUUUUUGAAUGUUCUUUCACAUCUUCCUUAUAAGGGAACAUUAGACAGUGGCUCAUCAGAAGAUCCAUGUCAACAUUUGCUAGUACUUUAAAGUGAAUGAAAAAAAAGGCCCGUGGGACAUCAAGUCUCAGCAAGGUUAAGAGGAUUGCACUUGCAAGUACCAUCUACUACAUUUGGUUAGCGUGUAACAUGAAGAUUUUUUAAGACCUUUCACCUCACUUGGAUUAUAUUGUGAGAGGGAUCGAGACACAUGUAUAUAAAGUUAUGUUCUCUUUGUAUUUGGAUGUCUUGAUCCAUUUCGAGUCCUUAGUGUUGGGUAUGCCCGGAGUAAUUGUACGUAACAUUGGCUUUUUUUGUCCGAGUAUGCACGGUGUACUUGUAUAUGAAAUUUUGAUCAAUGAAAUUUACAUUUACCAGUAAAAAAAGAUUCUUUUUUAAUUUUGGUAAGUACGGUGCCAGGGUCUUCCUCAUUUUUGUCAAUAAAAGCAUCAACAGUGGAGAUCCAAGCUCACCCCCAACCACUGAGGCGAUCGUCCGCCUAGUAUACACCUGAAUUGCCAUAAUUCUACUUUAUGGGAUCGACAAUUAUUGUUGCAACCCGCUUCUAGGAGCAAUGGAAUGAAGCAUUGGAAACUACUAUCCUUUAAAACUCAUAAAGAGACGUGUCCGUUUUCCUUUAAAAACUCAACAACCAAAAAAUAUUUUAUGCACUCUGUCUAAGGACAUACCAUUCUUGUGGAUUUCCUCAAUACUUGUGGUCCUAUACUUUGUAAGAUUAACAUAUUCAAUU